UUUUAUAAGAAAAAGAUGUGCACAGAGAUUUCUAUUUUGGAUGUUUAAGUGUGUGGAUGGAUGUCUAUUUUGAUCAUUUUAUUUAAAGGUAAAUUUGUAAUAAAAAUAAAAUUCAUUAAGUGUGUAGACAGAGACAAUGCGGUGUACGAAAAUAGAAUUUCCCCUCUCCGUCCAAAUUCUUAACACUGAGUGACAAAAACAGGACUUUCUUCUCUCUCUCCUCCGCCACUGUCGCAGGUCCUCCUUUGUCGCUGCUGCUUAUCCGUUGCUGCUCCGCCGCGAGAUCUAGAUCUGUAGCUUCUCUCUCUCUCUCUCUCUCUCUCCUCACCUCUGUUACCGCCGAAUCAUUACCGUUGUUCCUCUCGUCUUUCUCUAUCUCUUCUUUUUCACUUUCUCCUCACUCACUCACAUCUCAUAUCGAUUUCUCUCCACCUCCUACGUCAAUCUCUGUCGUCCUCCCUCUUCCUCAUCCUCAUCCUUCUUCUUCUUCGCCGCUGCCUCUCUCUCAUUGACAAUUGAAUAGCGCCAAUUUGCUUUCGGUACCGCUGCCAGAGCCAUCAGUCGUUCAUGGCGACCGACAGUUGAGGGCAGAUUGGGAAAAGAAGCUAACUUAUUGGUAGAUGAAUUUAUAUCAACACUGCAACAUUAUUGGUUGGGUUCUAAGCUCCUAUAGCAUGACGAGAGGAUCAGUUCAAGGUUGUUGCUUGAACUUGCUGGUGGGAAGAGUCUUACAGAUGAUAUUUUUAGACUAGUUUUAUUUGUUGUUUUUAUCAUUGUUCCAUUUGCUGAUUUGUUAAGAUUGGACCUCUCUCACUCCCCUCUCUCUAUGUAUAUCUGUGUAUGUAUGACAGAUAAUACCAUUCAGAUUUGUUCAAAAUGGCUCAGAUUUGUUUAAAAUGACACAAAUAUUUCAAUAAAUAGUGUUUUUAACGGACAGAUUAUA
Camellia sinensis is the source of this 943-nucleotide long non-coding RNA. RefSeq lists it as uncharacterized. Lineage: Eukaryota; Viridiplantae; Streptophyta; Magnoliopsida; Ericales; Theaceae. The record is from RefSeq and is a predicted model, not a curated record.